RNAcentral lists this transfer RNA (73 nucleotides) under Candidatus Woesearchaeota archaeon. RNAcentral's name for it is "tRNA-Val". It matches the Rfam family "tRNA". From Rfam's summary of the family: Transfer RNA (tRNA) molecules are approximately 80 nucleotides in length. RNAcentral also lists the same sequence under 1 other name. Lineage: Archaea; Nanobdellati; Candidatus Woesearchaeota. The record is from RNAcentral.
GAGCCUGUGGUCCAGCGGCUAUGACAUCGCCUUCACACGGCGGAGAUCGCCGGUUCGAAUCCGGCCAGGCUCA